RNAcentral lists this transfer RNA (75 nucleotides) under Bacillus anthracis (anthrax bacterium). RNAcentral's name for it is "tRNA-Gly (GCC) (tRNA-Gly-GCC-2-1)". It matches the Rfam family "tRNA". Rfam says of the family: Transfer RNA (tRNA) molecules are approximately 80 nucleotides in length. Their secondary structure includes four short double-helical elements and three loops (D, anti-codon, and T loops). RNAcentral also lists the same sequence under 1 other name. Lineage: Bacteria; Bacillati; Bacillota; Bacilli; Caryophanales; Bacillaceae. The record is from RNAcentral.
GCGGAAGUAGUUCAGUGGUAGAAUACAACCUUGCCAAGGUUGGGGUCGCGGGUUCCAAUCCCGUCUUCCGCUCCA